CUCAGAUGAUCACACCCACUUUGCUUCACUUUCAUGUCCAGAGCUGCUUAGACUGAUUUCUGCAAAGUGCACAGGCAUUUUCAUGCUGAGGAUAAAGGACCAUGAUCGCUUGUCUGGACCCAGAAAAUAUUUCCCAUUUGCUGCACAGAUGCCGUCUCAUCCUUCCAGAGUUCAAGACUUCAGCAGAAAAAAAAUCACCUCAUUAAAGGAAAAUUGUGCCUUAUCCCCACUACUCGAAGAUGCAACCAUCUCCCUGGUCACAGCCACUUUUUUCCUUUUUUUCUCACUCCAUUGUAUGUGUGUGUGGUGGGGCAGGGGAUAAGGGGAAUAAUCUCUCUCCAGUAUAAGAAGGAGAUAGAAGUUCAUGAAGCAGAAGCACAACAGGUGGUGGUUUGUCCUUUAAGCAAGUACUCAAUAGUUAAGGCUGAUCUCUUUGACUCUUCACUGGGAGCAGAAAAAGAAAGAGAGAUGCUGAAGAUGGAAGAAUGGACACAAUAGCAUUUGCUAUCCCUUCGUAUGUCUUGAGAUCUAGUACAAAGAUUCUGGGACAAGAAUAUUCGUGCUUUGUUUAGGGAACAGCAAGAGAAGUCACAGUUACUGGAGCAGAGUGACAGAUAAAGGGAGAGGUAAGAAAACAGGUAUAAAGGGAGUGAGAGACCAGCUCAUGGUAAGGAUUUUUUUUUUUUUUCACUUUCAGUACUUACCAUUUUAUUCUUCCUGUUUAUCUUCAACUUCAUACCCUUAACCAAUAUCUUCCCAUUCAC
This is a long non-coding RNA of Pan troglodytes (chimpanzee), 764 nucleotides long. RefSeq lists it as uncharacterized. The transcript is spliced from 6 exons. NCBI's taxonomy places the organism in Eukaryota, Metazoa, Chordata, Mammalia, Primates, Hominidae. The record is from RefSeq and is a predicted model, not a curated record.